AUUUUAUUAUUACUUAUUUUAAUCAAUGUCCACCCUGCUAGCUAGGCUUGAUUAAAUCUUUAGUUCUAAGGUAAAUUAAACAUUUCAGUUUGUAGUUUAGUAAAAGGGGACAUUUUGGACAAAGCUGGGAGGGGCCCAUCCAGUAACUAAAAAAAAAACCAAUAUACCAUCUGAUACCAUUGAUCAUUGAUUAGGGGGAGGGGUAGUACAGAAAUACAAGAGUUUGAAACACAGGAACAGAUAGGUAUGUGGGUAGGCGGGGACAGUAGAGCAGGGGGAGUGCAAAUACUGACUAUAUACCAGUUUU
This 307-nucleotide long non-coding RNA is filed under the name Pelobates cultripes (western spadefoot toad). The record is from RNAcentral. Lineage: Eukaryota; Metazoa; Chordata; Amphibia; Anura; Pelobatidae.